Molecule: long non-coding RNA, 828 nt
Filed under: Homo sapiens (human)
Lineage: Eukaryota; Metazoa; Chordata; Mammalia; Primates; Hominidae
Description: HSALNT0347470
Source: RNAcentral
GAGGCCCUCUUGGACAACACUUCCUCUCCUGCCCAUGGUGGGAGGUUGGGAAGGACAUUCCCCCAUUUCCAUUUGCUCUGCCAUUCAAAACCUUGUGAGGGCCCUCAGGGAAGAAUCCCUUUGCAGAUGAGGAAACUGAGGCCCCACGUGGUGAAGACAAUUUUUACCCGAAUCCACCCACAACAAGAGACCAUUUGGAUAAUGUACAUUAUGGGAAGAGAACAGAGUCUCAGUGAAGAUCAUGUUUCCCCAGCAACACAGGUGCCAGGAGUAGCUGGCUCUGGUCCCAGCCCAGACUCAGAAAUCCUGAGCCACCAGACCAUUUCUAGAUUAACAAAGGCCUGCAUUAAUUUGAUUUCAGUGACCCACUGGAAACCAGUGUCAGCAUAACAACAGUUACGAGAGCUAAACCUACAAAAUAGAAACACAAGUAAAACUUGUUCAAGUGGUUUGCAGUCAUUGAACAUAGAUCAGCUCCUAUGAAAACAAACUCCAUGGGAACUACAAGAAAAGAAUUCCUGCCUGAGAAAGGAGUGGAAGACCCAUGAGAUACCUUCUUCAGAACCUCUGGCAGCCUUCCUGGGAUGUGGAAAACACUGUUUGUUUUUCCUUCCAUUUCAUUUAGAUGAAGAGUUGACUACUCGCACAGUCAUACAGUUGAUGGCAUUGUCAGGAAUAAUCUGUAAAUAAUCUGUAACACUCAUGUUUACUCAUAAACAGAUCCCUCUUUCCUGGACCAAAUUGCAGUUUUCUUUGGAAACUAUUUUAAUCAAGCCUUUUUCGUUUCAAAGUAACAUCAACUCACAUCAAACUAACUCAAGCCAGCCA